This is a small nuclear RNA of Gorilla gorilla gorilla (western lowland gorilla), 120 nucleotides long. RefSeq annotates it as U5 spliceosomal RNA. The transcript has a single exon. Lineage: Eukaryota; Metazoa; Chordata; Mammalia; Primates; Hominidae. The record is from RefSeq and is a predicted model, not a curated record.
AUACUCUGGUUUCUCUUCAGAUUGUAUAAAUCUUUUACCUUUUACUAAACAUUUCCAUGGAGAGGAACAGUUAUAUGAGUCUUUACCCAACUUUUUGAGGGCUCAUGUAACACAUGAGAC